AAGCUAUCCAUUUACAGUAGGCCUAUCAUCAAAACAAUAGGCUUAUACGUAUUGUAUGCUAAUGAUGCAAGGAAAAGUAUAUGACCUGGGUAAAGAAAAUCCCCCACGUCUCCUUCCGCAGUGCCGCCAUUACUGUGAACUCUCUUGGCUCAGAAAUCGACGCGGAAAUGGUUCCAAUUCGUGACCUGCUUACAGUCGAACGAGCCAAUCAUUGUUCAACAAGUUCUUCAACACAACGCAAGCACAAAUCGACACUACAGUACAUUUCCGAAGGCCAUUUAGUUUUAAAAGAUAUUUCACUAUUCGACACGAUCAAUACGAACGUCACAAACCAUCGAUAACCAUGAACGUUCUACCAAGAGCUA
Molecule: long non-coding RNA, 365 nt
Organism: Anneissia japonica
Lineage: Eukaryota; Metazoa; Echinodermata; Crinoidea; Comatulida; Comatulidae
Exons: 3
Source: RefSeq, a predicted model, not a curated record